This 460-nucleotide ribosomal RNA is filed under the name uncultured bacterium. Its description in RNAcentral is "partial 16S ribosomal RNA". It matches the Rfam family "Bacterial small subunit ribosomal RNA", at positions 338 to 795 of the family's 1533-position model. The record is from RNAcentral.
CCUACGGGAGGCAGCAGUGAGGAAUAUUGGUCAAUGGUCGUAAGCCUGAACCAGCCAAGUAGCGUGCAGGAUGACGGCCCUAUGGGUUGUAAACUGCUUUUAUGCGGGGAUAAAACGCGUCACGUGUGCUCUUUUGUAGGUACCCCAUGAAUAAGGACUGGCUAAUUCCGUGCCAGCAGCCGCGGUAAUACGGAAGGUGCGGGCGUUAUCCGGAUUUAUUGGGGUUAAAGGGAGCGUAGGCCGGAUGUUAAGCUUGCCGUUAAAUGCCGUGGCUCAACCAUGGCACGGCGGCGGGAACUGGGGUGCUGGAGUGGGCGAAACGUAGGCGGAAUGCGUGGUGUAGCGGUGAAAUGCUUAGAUAUCACGAAGAACUCCGAUUGCGAAGGCAGCAUACGGGAGCGCGACUGACGCUGAGGCACGAAGGCGCGGGGAUCGAACAGGAUUAGAUACCCGAGUAGUC